UCCUGAACACCAAUCAGCGCCGAACUUUGUCUUCCAAGCCCUCCACGGGAAGCCGGCCCCCAUCUGACGCCUCUCCUUGGCCCCUCCCACCCCAAACUGGUACCGGUAAAGUCCCGCCCCCACCUGCAGGCUCCGCCCCCGGCCCAGCCCCGGACCGGCGUCCGGGAGCGGACCCGGAAGGGGGGGGCGGACCCAGAGUCAGGUACUUGGGGGCAGGGUCCCCUGCUGGGUAACAGACAGACGUACGAGGAUCCAGGGUGUGGCGGCUGCUUUCUGUCGUGGAGCUGGCCGUCCCGCAGAUGUGCUGCCCUACUGACCACAGGGUCUGGACCAGGCUCCUCUGGGUUCAUAUGGGCAUGCUGGGCUGUUACUGAUGGCCAGUGGGGCCUCAGCUCAGGCAGAGUCCCCGAGGGGCAUGUAGGGGCCCUGGGUCCCUCCCAGCACCAAGAAGGAACCAAAGACUGCCCCUCACGCGCCAGUUCAGCCUGGUAG
RNAcentral lists this long non-coding RNA (492 nucleotides) under Fukomys damarensis (Damara mole-rat). RNAcentral's name for it is "lncRNA (ENSFDAG00000031800.1)". Lineage: Eukaryota; Metazoa; Chordata; Mammalia; Rodentia; Bathyergidae. The record is from RNAcentral.